AUCCGAAACAUUUUCGUUGCCUUAAGGCCUUUGACUAUAUUUGGGCCGGCUAUGUAUUUCCUUUGUUCUUGCCCAUUGAUUUUGAGACAUGCUUCUCUAGAUAACAGUUGAACCGGUGUACCGGACGGUUUAGUUCCCUUUGAAACACUGAAUUAUCUCCAUCAUGUCGGUCUGCUUUGUAGGGACUUAUUCACGUCGGCGUUGUUGUAAUACACGUGACAAAUCGAUGUGAAGAUAAUGGGGUCUCUUAAGUCAUACUUUACCAAAAUAGAUUAGACUUGUCGUCGUCUGUAAUCAGAAGCUCUCGUGGGCCUUUUUAAUCAUACGGCCAAGGAAGAAAAUAUCUUCAUUAUCCUCUUUUGAUUUGUUGAGACUUUUUUUUUCUUGCUUCGGAGUGAAAACAAAAUAUAUAAAUAAUGUAAACUUAAAAAGGGACUCUGAAGUGAGAAUUUGGUGGAUCUUACGACUGGUCUUCAUUUU
This is a long non-coding RNA of Arabidopsis thaliana (thale cress), 480 nucleotides long. RefSeq annotates it as other RNA. Lineage: Eukaryota; Viridiplantae; Streptophyta; Magnoliopsida; Brassicales; Brassicaceae. The record is from RefSeq. The transcript has a single exon.